Molecule: ribosomal RNA, 1549 nt
Filed under: Paracentrotus lividus (common urchin)
Lineage: Eukaryota; Metazoa; Echinodermata; Echinoidea; Camarodonta; Echinidae
Description: 16S ribosomal RNA
Rfam family: Bacterial large subunit ribosomal RNA
Source: RNAcentral
AAAUUAUUACCAUAGGCCUCCCCAAAAUAAAAAUAUUUAGCUUUCUUUGUAAAAAAAACACUUUCACUAUUAAAGUAUAACCACUAGAAAUUUUUUAAAGGACCAACAGAAAAAGUACCGAAAGGAAUAAUGAAAUAAUACUAACUUAAUAAAUAUUAAGAAGGAAAGAUUAUUCCUUUUACCUUGUGUAUAAUGGAUUAACGAGACUACCCAAAAAACUAUUUGACACCCGAAACUGGACGAGCUAAUCUUCUCCUCUUUUUAGAAGAUUUAUCCUUACUGUUGCAAUAGUAAGAGAAAAGGGAAGAUUAGAUGUGAAAUGCUAACCGCGCCCAGAGAUAGCUGGUUCUCCAAGAAAUUAGUUUUAGCUAAGCCUUUAAAACAAAAAUAGAAUUACUUUAACAUAUAAAACCAAAAAGAUUGGUUUUUUUUUAAGUUGAAGGUCAGGGCUUUAGGGAUAAGCCUAGAGCCCAAAAUGGAAAACCCCAAUUCUGAUAGAAAAAGACAAUAACCACAUAAAUAGUUGCCCCUAAAGAAGUAGGCUUAGAAGCAGCCACCUAAAUAAAAAGCGUUAAAGCUUAAUUAAAAAACCUCAACUAAAAAAUCCUUGGCACAACCUCUGAAUCUACAGAAAAAUAUUGGAGCCCUCUGAUUCUCAGAAGAGACAAUGUUAAUAUGAGUAAGAAUACUUUCACCUGCGUUUUAUACCCCCCUAACCUUGGAAAUAAAAACAAUGAGACUAAAAAAAUUGUUUUAACUAUUGUCCUCCAACUCAGGAGAAAGAAAAUUAAUAAAUUGGAAAAAAGGAACUCGGCAAAACACAGUUUCGCCUGUUUACCAAAAACAUCGCUCCCCGAUAAAUAACAACAUGAGGAGUCCUGCCUGCCCAGUGACUAAAGGUUAAACGGCCGCGGUAUCUUGACCGUGCGAAGGUAGCAUAAUCAUUUGUCUUCUAAAUAAAGACUAGUAUGAAUGGCAAGACGGAACUGAACUGUCUCUUUUCCAAAUAAUCCGAAUUUCACUUCUCCGUGAAGAGGCGGAGGGUAAAAUCGUUAGACGAGAAGACCCUGUCGAGCUUUUAGCAAAAACUUAACUAGUAAAACACUUAAACUACUCUAGUAAAUGAAUGUAAGUAUAACUAAGCUACUAAGAUUAAGUGAAGCUUUGGUUGGGGCAACCGCGGAGUAAAAGAAGCCUCCGCUAAAAAAAUAUUAACCACUAAACUAAGGACUACCAUCCUAUAAUCAUGAAUGAUUAAAUUGAUCCAUUUAGAUGACCAAAGGAACAAGUUACCGCAGGAUAACAGCGUUAUCUUUUCUGAGAGUUCACAUUGACGAAAAGGUUUGCGACCUCGAUGUUGGAUCGGGACAUCCUAAAGGUGCAGAAGCUUUUAAGGGUUGGUCUGUUCGACCAUUAAAGUCCUACGUGAUCUGAGUUCAGACCGGCGAAAGCAGGUCAGUUUCUAUCUACGUAUUUAUUCUCCUCAGUACGAAAGGACCAGGAUAAGAGUGCCCAUGCAGACAUGUAUUGCACUUCAAUUAAAAACAUG